This 1338-nucleotide ribosomal RNA is filed under the name uncultured bacterium. RNAcentral's name for it is "bacterial SSU rRNA". It matches the Rfam family "Bacterial small subunit ribosomal RNA", at positions 28 to 1381 of the family's 1533-position model. The record is from RNAcentral.
GACGAACGCUGGCGGCGUGCUUAACACAUGCAAGUCGAACGGAAAGGCCUUUUCUGAGGUACUCGAGUGGCUAACGGAUGAGUAACACAUGGGUGAUCUGCCCUGCCCUCUGGUAUAAACCUGUGAAACUGGCUCUAAUACCUGAUAGGACCGCACUUCAGCGUGUGGGGGGGAAAGUUUUUUCUGCGUAGGAUGAGCCCGCACUCUAUCAUCUUGUUGGUGGGGUAAUGGCCUACCAAUAGCGGCGACUGGUAGCCGGACUGAGAGGUUGGUCGGACACGUUGCGACUGAGAUACGGCCCAGACUCCUACCGGAGGCAACGGUGGGGAAUAUUGCACAAUGGGCGCGAGCCUGAUGCAACGACGCCGCGUGGGGGAUGACGGCCUUCCCGUUGUAAACUCCUUUCGCCAGGGACGAAGCGUUUUGUGACGGUACCUGGAGAAGAAACACCGGCUAACUACGUGCCAGCACCCGCGGUAAUACGUACGGUGCAAGCGUUGUCCGGAAUUACUGGGCGUAAAGAGCUCGGAUGUGGUUUGUCACAUCGUCUGUGAAAUUCCACAGCUUAACUGUGGGCGUGCAGGCGAUACGGGCUGACUUGAGUACUGUAGGGGUAACUGGAAUUCCUGGUGUAGCGGUGAAAUGCGCAGAUAUCAGGAGGAACACCGAUGGCGAAGGCAGGUUACUGGGCAGUUACUGACGCUGAGGAGCGAAAGCAUGGGUAGCAAACAGGAUUAGAUACCCUGGUAGUCCAUGCCGUAAACGGUGGGCGCUAGGUGUAGGGGCCGUUUGGGGUUUCUGUGCCGUAGCUAACGCAUUAAGCGCCCCGCCUGGGGAGUACGGCCGCAAGGCUAAAACUCAAAGGAAUUGACGGGGGCCCGCACAAGCGGCGGAACAUGUGGAUUAAUUCGAUGCAACGCGAAGAACCUUACCUGGGCUUGACAUACACCAGAUCGCUGCAGAGAUGUAGUUUCCCUUGUGGCUGGUGUACAGGUGGUGCAUGGCUGUCGUCAGCUCGUGUCGUGAGAUGUUGGGUUAAGUCCCGCAACGAGCGCAACCCUUGUCUUAUGUUGCCAGCACGUUAUGGUGGGGACUCAUGAGAGACUGCCGGGGUUAACUCGGAGGAAGGUGGGGACGACGUCAAGUCAUCAUGCCCCUUAUGUCCAGGGCUUCACACAUGCUACAAUGGCCGGUACAAUGCGCAGCGAGCCUGUGAGGGUGAGCUAAUCGCUUAAAGCUGGUCUUAGUUCGGAUUGGGGUCUGCAACUCGACCCCAUGAAGUCGGAGUCGCUAGUAAUCGCAGAUCAGCAAUGCUGCGGUGAAUACGUUCCCGGGCCU